Molecule: long non-coding RNA, 2509 nt
Organism: Aquila chrysaetos chrysaetos
Lineage: Eukaryota; Metazoa; Chordata; Aves; Accipitriformes; Accipitridae
Exons: 2
Source: RefSeq, a predicted model, not a curated record
UAUUCUUCCGAGUAGCUGAUAGUUUGGUGGCCAGAAAGCUUGCCUGGGAUGCAGGAUUCUGACAUUCAGACAUCUUGCAGAACAGAAACUUGAAAUCUGGACUCCUGUGCCACCAGUCAGUGCCUUGAUCAUAGGAUGAUUAUCUGGGAGGGGUGACAGUUUUCUUGCUCUUUGAUGUAUUUCAAGUCUCAUCCUAGGCAUGAGAACCUUUCCCAGGUAAGAGCUUCGUAAGAACUGCUGACAUUGAUAUGAAACCGGGGCAUAAAACCAGGAGCCUGAUGUGUGAUCUGUUGCCAGUUGCCUUCAAACUACCACAACUGAUGAGGAAAAAAAGAGAGGAAGUGGAUGGAGAAAUGGGACAGGUCAUCUGGACUCUGAUAAUUAAUGUUCCUUAGAAUAUAAAAGUUUUGAAACUUUCCUGGAAAUGAAGUUUUAUGAUCUGCUACAAUGGCCCACAGGGGGGAUGCUGCAACCUACACAUAUUGACAAUUGUGGUAUUACCAGGCAAUUCAUUUUUAUGAGUAAUUUCCAGAGCAACCCUCAACCAUGCAGUCACGCAUACAGUGCAACAGUGUGCCAUAGAAGAAAGACUCAGCUGGAGGCCACAGAUUAUACAGAUUUAUUAAUAUUUGGGAAAAAGAUCCUAACAGCAGAAAGCAAAUUGAGCAACAGAGGGGGGAAGAAGGAAUGGACUUGACAACAAAGCAAGCUCUGUAAGGAUGUGAUCCAGAGCACAGUGAACUCAAUGGAAAGAUUUCCAUUGAUUUCUUAAGAUCUUAGAUAGAUCUCAAGGGGACAGAGACACUCCGUCUUAUACCUUCCCCCCUCCUUUCUCCAUCUGAAUGGAAAAUACAUUCUUUCCUGUUCACAACUAGCAUCAUUUAGUGACCAAACAUCACAAACAAAAGGUUGAUCAUCCUUGGGAUGUUAGAACCAAGAAUCCCUACCUAAGCAGCCCCAGAACUGGCUUGACUUUUCCAAGGACUGAGCACCUCUCAAAUUCUCUCUAACAGUACCUUUGUCUUUCUAUUAGACUCAGAAUAGUCUUACCCUGUACUUAACUUUGCAAACCCACUCUGCUUUCUCUUUUAAAACACAGAGAAUAAUGGAGCAGUUGGAUCUAUAAUCUUGUUUCUCUUAAAUCCUUCUCCAUAAACACUUCUUGUAAAGGUAAUGACCCGUUUAGUCGUCUUCUAUUUAUGUCUAGUCUAAGUAGUUAUAGCUGUUACUUUUAAACACCUAUUAAAUACUUUAGUAGUUCUUAAACCAUGCCAAGGAAUACUUGGAACAAAAGAACAAUGAACAGAGAUGACUGAAAAUGAAGUUGUAGAACUGAAUUUGAUUAUAUAUCAUUCAGAAGAAAAAAAUAGUUCUGUCAAAGUCCCUGUUAAGGUCUGUUAGAGAAAGUGAUAUACUUUGCACUAAGUGAGGCUACAUAGAUCAUGAAUCAUGGCCCCAAGUGAUAUAUCUCCAAGAUCAGCUUGGUUAUCUACUUUCAAAAUCCUUCCUUCUAUGGGAACAAAAGUUUGCUGCCUAAUGUAAGUAGUGUUUGACAAACUCAUCCUGCUGUGAUAGCAAGUCUUAUUUCACCCUACACACUGAAGAACAUAAUUUAUCUUAACACUAGGCAUUGAGCAACGCUAGCUGUGGGGAAGUAGAACGACUAGGGUUUCCUUUUACUAGUGAACUCAGUUGAAAUCGGCAGUCAAGCCAAGCCUGGUUUAAGUACUCUGUUGGUUCCUUAACGUGAUGUGAAAGACCAAGGCUGCUUUAUUGCAGUGGGUGGGUAAGUUACCAGCAAGACAUGUUGAGAUGAGGAGCUGGUGACAACACACAGAAAAAGAAACCCCCAUUAUUCCCCAUCACUUUGGAGAUACAAGAAUAAACUUCCUUAUAGAGAAAACCAGGACAUUGUUGGUGGAGAACGCUGAACAGAGCGUCCUACUGUAGUCGUAUGUUUGAGUCAGGGCCUAGCCGUGGUGCAAUUCAGGGUUAAAGAUGAUGCCUUGUUCUUUAAGGAGGACCAGUAGUACUCUCAAUAGCUUCACUAUGCAAGCCUGAUUACUUUGUAUAAACUAUGCAUGCUUUGCUAACGACUAUGUCCUCGAGGAGGGAACUAAAGACUGAUAAGAGGAAACAUUCUGCCCCAGAAGGCACCGAAGGCCGGAUGACUGCCAAAGAAGCACAAACUAAAGGAAAGGUAAAGGUGGCAGGGGGAGAUCGGGACCACCAACUCAAUUCCAGGCUGGAAGAACUUGCCUCACCCCACCUGCAAGGAGCAGGUGUGCUAAUUUACAUAACAAGCAAAGUUAAUUUAAAUAUAACUGACCAAUAAUAGAUGAGAGGGUGACUACUAACCAAUGAAUGUAAACUUAGGCGGGUUUUUGCUAAUUAUGUAACAGAAUAAAUAUGUUGUAGUUCUUUGGUGUGGUGUGCCAGCUUUGUGGAGUCACCAGCUGGCACCCAUCUCUGCGCAGACAUGAAAUAAAUAAGUAUCUCGGCUCUGUAA